This 254-nucleotide ribosomal RNA is filed under the name uncultured bacterium. Its description in RNAcentral is "partial 16S ribosomal RNA". It matches the Rfam family "Bacterial small subunit ribosomal RNA", at positions 524 to 776 of the family's 1533-position model. The record is from RNAcentral.
UACAUGGGGUGCAAACGUUGCUCGGAAUUACUGGGCGUAAAGGGCUCGUAGGCGGCCAACUAAGUCAGACGUGAAAUCCCUCGGCUUAACCGGGGAACUGCGUCUGAUACUGGAUGGCUUGAAUCCGGGAGAGGGAUGCGGAAUUCCAGGUGUAGCGGUGAAAUGCGUAGAUAUCUGGAGGAACACCGGUGGCGAAGGCGACAUCCUGGACCGGUAUUGACGCUGAGUGAGCGAAAGCCAGGGGAGCAAACGGG